GUUAUCCUUGUCUAAGGGGAGCAAAGUAUUCAAUGAUCGUUUAGUGAGGGUACUGUUGCUGAAUCCCAUUAACAAAUUAUUCUCCGCAUCCACGAUAUAUUAUUAUCGUGUGAUGCAAUUUUUGAAGGC
Ceratina calcarata is the source of this 129-nucleotide small nuclear RNA. RefSeq annotates it as U4atac minor spliceosomal RNA. The record is from RefSeq and is a predicted model, not a curated record. Lineage: Eukaryota; Metazoa; Arthropoda; Insecta; Hymenoptera; Apidae. The transcript has a single exon.